Molecule: ribosomal RNA, 433 nt
Filed under: uncultured bacterium
Lineage: Bacteria
Description: partial 16S ribosomal RNA
Rfam family: Bacterial small subunit ribosomal RNA
Source: RNAcentral
AACGAACGCUGGCGGCAUGCCUAACACAUGCAAGUCGAACGAGACCUUCGGGGCUAGUGGCGCACGGGUGCGUAACGCGUGGGGACCUGCCCUUAGGUUCGGAAUAACUCCCCGAAAGGGGUGCUAAUACCGGAUAAUGUCUUCGGACCAAAGAUUUAUCGCCUUUGGAUGGGCCCGCGUUGGAUUAGGUAGUUGGUAGGGUAAAAGCCUACCAAGGCGACGGUCCAUAGCUGGUCUGAGAGGAUGAUCAGCCACACUGGGACUGAGACACGGCCCAGACUCCUACGGGAGGCAGCAGUGGGGAAUAUUGGACAAUGGGCGAAAGCCUGAUCCAGCAAUGCCGCGUGAGUGAUGAAGGCCUUAGGGUUGUAAAGCUCUUUUACCCGGGAUGAUAAUGACAGUACCGGGAGAAUAAGCUCCGGCUAACUCCGUG